RNAcentral lists this ribosomal RNA (414 nucleotides) under Gonyosoma oxycephalum (red-tailed green ratsnake). RNAcentral's name for it is "partial 16S ribosomal RNA". It matches the Rfam family "Bacterial large subunit ribosomal RNA", at positions 1970 to 2594 of the family's 2925-position model. The record is from RNAcentral. Lineage: Eukaryota; Metazoa; Chordata; Lepidosauria; Squamata; Colubridae.
UGUCUACUAACUAUAGNCCUGUAUGAAAGGCAAAAUNAGGGUCCAACUGUCUCUUAUAAUAAAUCAAUUAAACUGAUCUCCUAGUAAAAAAGCUAGAAUCUAAACAUAAGACCAGAAGACCCUGUGAAGCUUAAAUCAAACUAUUAACCCACAUAAUAAAUACUUUCGGUUGGGGCGACCUUGGAAAAAAAAAGAACUUCCAAACAACAUAGUACAUCUACCCAAACACAGGCCAACAAGCCAAUAAAUGACCCAGUCAAAAGACUGAUAAAUGAACCAAGUUACUCCAGGGAUAACAGCGCAAUCUUCUUCAAGAGCCCAUAUCAAAAAGAAGGUUUACGACCUCGAUGUUGGAUCAGGACAUCCUAAUGGUGCAGCCGCUAUUAAGGGUUCGUUUGUUCAACGAUUAACAGU